This 140-nucleotide ribosomal RNA is filed under the name uncultured eukaryote. Its description in RNAcentral is "partial 18S ribosomal RNA". It matches the Rfam family "Eukaryotic small subunit ribosomal RNA", at positions 1299 to 1458 of the family's 1831-position model. The record is from RNAcentral.
UGGUGGAGUGAUUUGUCUGGCUAAUUCCGUUAACGAACGAGACCUUAACCUGUUAAAUAGUUACACAUAACUCCGGCUAUGUGGGCAACUCCUUAGAGGGACUUUGUGUGUAUAACGCAAGGAAGUUUGAGGCAAUAACA